This 404-nucleotide unclassified non-coding RNA is filed under the name soil metagenome. RNAcentral's name for it is "partial contains 5.8S ribosomal RNA, internal transcribed spacer 2, and large subunit ribosomal RNA". The stretch from base 1 to 121 matches the Rfam family "5.8S ribosomal RNA", at positions 35 to 154 of the family's 154-position model. The record is from RNAcentral.
GAUGAAGAACGCAGCGAAAUGCGAUAAGUAAUGUGAAUUGCAGAAUUCAGUGAAUCAUCGAAUCUUUGAACGCACCUUGCGCCCUUUGGACAUUCCGAAGGGCAUGCCUGUUUGAGUAUCAUGAACACCUCAACUCUCACGGCUUGUCCGUGAUGAGCUUGGACUUUGGGGGUCUUGCCGGCCUGUGGUCGGCUCCUCUCAAAUGGAUCAGCUUGCCAGUGUUUGGUGGCAUCACAGGUGUGAUAACUAUCUGCGCUUGUGGUUUUCCAUCAGAUAACCUUCAGUGAUAUGGAGGUUCGCUGGAGCUCACAAAUGUCUCUCCUUAGUGAGGACAGCUCUUUGAACGUUUGAUCUCAAAUCAGGUAGGACUACCCGCUGAACUUAAGCAUAUCAAUAGCGGAGGA